GGACCCGCACAAGUAGUGGAGCAUGUGGUUUAAUUCGAAGAUACGCGCAGAACCUUACCAACACUUGACAUGUUCGUCGCGACUUUAAGAGAUUAAAGUUUUCGGUUCGGCCGGACGAAAACACAGGUGCUGCAUGGCUGUCGUCAGCUCGUGUCGUGAGAUGUUGGGUUAAGUCCCGCAACGAGCGCAACCCUCACUUUUAGUUGCCAUCAUUUAGUUGGGCACUCUGAAAGAACUGCCAGUGAUAAGCUGGAGGAAGGUGGGGAUGACGUCAAGUCCUCAUGGCCCUUACGUGUUGGGCUACACACGUGCUACAAUGGUAUUUACAACAGGAAGCAAGACUGCGAAGUUAAGCAAAUCCUUAAAAGAUACCUCAGUUCGGAUUGCACUCUGCAACUCGAGUGCAUGAAGCUGGAAUUACUAGUAAUCGU
This 431-nucleotide ribosomal RNA is filed under the name uncultured bacterium. RNAcentral describes it as "bacterial SSU rRNA". It matches the Rfam family "Bacterial small subunit ribosomal RNA", at positions 917 to 1345 of the family's 1533-position model. The record is from RNAcentral.